UGGGGAAUUUUGGACAAUGGGGGAAACCCUGAUCCAGCGACGCCGCGUGUGUGAAGAAGGCCUGCGGGUUGUAAAGCACUUUCGGUGGGAACGAAAUAUGCCGGGCUAAUACCCCGGUAGGCUGACGUUACUCAAUGAAGAAGCACCGGCUAACUCUGUGCCAGCAGCCGCGGUAAUACAGAGGGUGCGAGCGUUAAUCGGGAAUUACUGGGCGUAAAGCGCACGUAGGUGGCGACGUAAGUCGGGUGUGAAAGCCCCGGGCUCAACCUGGGAACUGCAUUCGAGACUGUGUUGCUGGAGUACGGAAGAGGAGGGCGGAAUUCCCGGUGUAGCGGUGAAAUGCGUAGAUAUCGGGAGGAACAUCAGUGGCGAAGGCGGCCCUCUGGUCCAGUACUGACACUCAAGUGCGAAAGCGUGGGGAGCAAACAGGAUUAGAUACCCCAGUAGUCCCUGAGCGGGCUGGCAAGGCGCAU
RNAcentral lists this ribosomal RNA (473 nucleotides) under uncultured bacterium. RNAcentral's name for it is "bacterial SSU rRNA". It matches the Rfam family "Bacterial small subunit ribosomal RNA", at positions 355 to 825 of the family's 1533-position model. The record is from RNAcentral.